GCAUGCACUGCCUUAGUGACCAGGGAAGGCACCCCACGUCUAUGGGGAAAUUAGCCUGAGACUUAGCUUUCAUUAUCACUGUCUCCCAGGGUGUGCUUGUCAAAGAGAUAUUCUGCCAAGCCAGAUUCGGGUGCUCCCAUCUUGCGCAAGUUGGUCACGUGGUCACCCAAUUCUUUGAUGGCUUUCACCUGCUCAUUCAGGGCACUAAUAUACACAUGAUGAUACUUAAUUCUCUCAGAAAACCUUUGGCAAAGACACUGUCUACAUCUUGAAGGCAAGGAAUCUGAAUCUUGAAGAGAUUAAAUGAAUUGUCCAAAGUCACGUGGGGGUUUGGGAGAAGGAAAAUCAUGAACACACAUUCUUCUACUCUGGAGAAGUGGGGAAGGUGACCUGGGAAACCAUAUGAAAGGGAGCAGGAUGGAUUCUAUAAAAUAUAGAGUGUUCAGUGAAAACAACCUGAUGCUCCUCCCAGUACCAUCACAUUUUUCUAGCUGCAUAUCCCUAGGCAUGAGGCUGAAGCCAGGAAAUGACCCAACAUUGAGGGUAAUCUGGGCACUGAAGGCACUACAAUACCCAGGAUUUUUCAAGAAAAUGUCGAAUGUGCUGCCACAUAUGUCGGAUGCACAUGGAUCCCCUCCCACAAGGAAAAUCACGAUUGAAGAUCACCUCCUUGAAGAUGUCGUAUUGGGAGCGGUGUUUUUCCCUGUUGCUGACAGGUUAGACUUGCACAGGCGUCAGUACUGAGGUAUGAGACGGAGCCCAUGUAUGGCUUCUAUCUCUGCACUGUGGCUGCUCCGUUCAUGUGUCAGUCACAUCAGCUCAGAGACUGCCUAAUGUCAACUGGCCUAGUCAUUUUGUC
Molecule: non-coding RNA, 859 nt
Filed under: Pan troglodytes (chimpanzee)
Lineage: Eukaryota; Metazoa; Chordata; Mammalia; Primates; Hominidae
Source: RNAcentral